GAUGAAGAACGUAGCGAAAUGCGAUAAGUAAUGUGAAUUGCAGAAUCCAGUGAAUCAUCGAAUCUUUGAACGCACAUUGCGCCCCUCGGUAUUCCGAGGGGCAUGCCUGUUCGAGCGUCAUUAUAACCCUUCAAGCUCAGCUUGGUGUUGGGGCCUGCUGUAACUGGUAGCCCUUAAAAUCAGUGGCAGUGCUAUUAGGCUCUAAGCGUAGUAAUUCUUCUCGCUAUAGUGUGUAGUGAGCGCUUGCCAGAACCCCAAACUUUUAUAUGAUUGACCUCGGAUCAGGUAGGGAUACCCGCUGAACUUAAGCAUAUCAAUAAGCGGAGGA
Molecule: unclassified non-coding RNA, 328 nt
Filed under: soil metagenome
Description: partial contains 5.8S ribosomal RNA, internal transcribed spacer 2, and large subunit ribosomal RNA
Rfam family: 5.8S ribosomal RNA (bases 1-120)
Source: RNAcentral